This is a non-coding RNA of Triticum urartu, 2494 nucleotides long. NCBI's taxonomy places the organism in Eukaryota, Viridiplantae, Streptophyta, Magnoliopsida, Poales, Poaceae. The record is from RefSeq and is a predicted model, not a curated record.
UUGGGACACCUAGGUGCCCAAGCACCUUGCCUACAAACCGUUCGAUUACAUUGUGUUUCUCUCUUAUAUAUAUAUAUAUGUUUCUCUAUAUAUAUAUAUAUAUAUAUCAAACCUAUUGUGUUUCUCUCUAGAGGUGGCAAUCUAAGCCACAUGGUCUGUUUGGAAUCUGGUCCCCUUUCUUUCCCUCUAAACAUUUUUCUCAUUUUGUGUGUGUGAAAUUUAUUUCCUCAUUGAGAUAAAGCUGGACCACUUUUACAUAUGCUUGGACACUAGGCCCAGCAGGUAGGCCGCAUGCCUCCUGCACCGCGCCAGUCGUCGGGCCGCGAGCGAAGAGUUCCCAGCCCACGAAAGGUUCCAUGCGCAGGAAAGGUUCGUGCUUUUUUUUCCUCGCUGGUUUUUUGGUUCUUUGCAUAUCAGCCGUAGUCACCCGUGCAUGCAGCCCAGCCGUCCACACAUCUCACCCUUCUCCCCUGGGCCCCCGCGUCGUCCACCCCUGGCUACUUGAGGGGUGAAGACCUAGCAGCGCCACUUUCUCCUCCCCCUCCCUCCCCUGACCCACCGCCGCCGGAGGCGUCGGCCGACGAAGCUUGUCUGUCUCCGGGGAUGGAGACGGCGGGGCGUCUUUCUACCUGGCGGGAAGCGGCGGGGUUGCUUCUCCGACUAGCGCGUGUGGAGGUGGUGGCGGCGACGCAUGUUGCUCCGGCAUGGUGCCAUGCGGCGCACGGCCGUGCUCGAGGCCGUGGUGCACAACGCUGGUGUGAGCGCUGUUGGCCACUGGAUGGGGCGGAGGUCCCCCGCGUGGUCUGCUGGAUCUCGCGCCGGCGGGGCGGUUGCCGUGGUGGAGAGCAUGGGGCGCUGGCACGACUGUGCUAGGGGCUGUGGCAUGCUGCACUGGUGUGCGCGGGGUUGGUAGCUGACUUGGGCAGCGGCCUCCCGAGUGGCCUGCUGGUGCUAGUCUCCAUGUCAGGCAGGCGGGCUGCAGAUGUUUCCUCUCCUGUCGGUCCUCUUGAUGUGCUCCGGCCAGAUGCCGUGCUGGGGGUGUGGCUGUUAUUCCUCUUCCUUAUGCGGCAGCGCCGGCGAAAGGACGACGUGGUGCUGGACAGACUCCCUUCCCCUUCCUCCUCUGUGGAUAUUUCUUUCCUUUCUUCCUUACUGAUUUCAACAGUUUUCAUGGGUGUGCUUAUACUAAACAAAAUUAACAUUGUGGGUGUGCCGCUGGCUGUUGGUAUUGAUAAAAGAAACUGAUGCUCAUAUAUGUGCGGGGACAUAGUUUGUUGAGUAAGAUCAGCUAAUUCUUCCAACGCUGUCUACCUCAUAAAAGAAGUGGUGAGCUUUUCCUUCCCGUGUUAUAUCCUUCUAGGUCUUGCUCUUGCAGAUCCUUGCAAUUUUUUAUUUCUGUUUCAUGAGGGAAGAGAGAGAUUUCUUUGAUUCAGUGAAUUUAAGAGUAAGAAGGGGAAGAGAGGUUGAAAGGUUUUGGUAUUGAAUGCCUCCGUGGCCUUUCAGCAGGAGCAGUUCAUGCUUUUCUGUUUGUGUAGUUACUUUGAUAUUUCUUCUGAUUUAUUUGGCUUCAGAACAAGUUUUUUUUAGGGGAACGUUUCAGAACAACUUCCUUCCUACAUAUCUCUCACCAACAAGCUGAGAUUAUAUUUGCAGGCUAUAUGCAUGAGAAAUAAAAGAACAUGAUGUACCAAAGAACUUCACAGGCGAGAAAUGUGGUGAAUUUAUCAAAGCACCUUUUUUAUUCGUGGUGACAUCUAGCCAAUGAUGGGUGUGCAGCUGAAGGCCCUGUUGUUUUCUCUUGCUUUUUUUGAUUAUAUAUUUUGGUUUUGUACUCCUUUGAUCGACAAGUGGGAUGGUACGUUUGAUGGGUGUGCAGGUGAAGACCCUAUUGGAUUGGCUUGAUUAGGAAAUGUUGUUUGCCUUGCUGAAUUUUGUUCAGUUAGUCAAAGAACCAUGUACCUUGCCUUGCCGACAACGUAGUAUAAUUUGUGAAGUUUUUACCAAUGUAAAGAGCGACUCAGAGAGCACGUCGUGCUCAUGCUUAUCGCUUCUCCCGAUACCAUUUUGUUUCUCAACGUGAUAAUGUGUAGUGGACCAAGUACAUCGGGUACCCACAAUGAGUGGAAGUCAAAGUCUUAUCUCCCGGUGCGAGCAGUGGCCCUCCAACUUUCUAGUUUGCAGAAUUCCAGGCAGCCUCUGUUUGGCAACGGCAUCAUUGUAUGUGCGGGACGUAAACAGUGCAUGUGAGUAGAGAAAAGAAUAGAGUAAACCAUCAGCUGGCUCAGAUGGGAUGUACUCUGCCCCCAUUUGUGCAAUUAUAUAUAGCCAUCAGCUGUUCGGUUAUGUAAUGUACUACCUGAUGAAAUUGGCCAUUUGUGCAAUUAUAUAUAGCACACAACUUUCGGAAAGGCCCCACAUGUUUACCGUUUAUUACAGACACUUGCCUUUUAUUGUGCUGCCAAGACCAUUAUUAUUAGUAUGGUGGAUUAUUCAU